CAUUAAUUCAUCACAAUCGAACUAAUUCUAAGAACCCUAAUUCAUCAAAUAACCCUAAAAUCAUGACAAUGACGAAAACCCUAAAAUCACAAUCAAACCCGAUUAAACCAAUCGAUCGACAUUACCUGUUGUAAUUGAUGAUUUCGAUGGUAGAGAGAGGAGAUUCUUUGGCUAUUCUCCUCUGAAACCAAUCAAUCAAAAUGGAUCUCCUCUGUCUCGCCAUCUCCUUUCAAUACUCCGGUGAUAAGCUUUGCAGAUGAAGAACAGCCGGAGAUGAUGAUCAGCACAGAAGACAGACGCGAUCCUUUGUCUACUCUCCUUUGAAAUCAAACGAGAAGAAGAUCAAGAUCUCUUUCUCUACUUUCGGAGAAAACGAGAAAAAUGAGAGAAGAGAGAAAGAGAGAGAAUUCGUGAAUUUUUUUUUUAUGGUUUUGUUUAUUUUUUCA
This 446-nucleotide long non-coding RNA is filed under the name Capsella grandiflora. RNAcentral's name for it is "long non-coding RNA (CGRA_LNC000175)". Lineage: Eukaryota; Viridiplantae; Streptophyta; Magnoliopsida; Brassicales; Brassicaceae. The record is from RNAcentral.